GAAAAAAAACGCGGACGUGCUGAUAAACCCCACUCUCUAAACUGUCCUUUCCCUCAUUCCCGCCGGCAUCUCUUUCUCGGUCUCUCUCGCCGGCGUCUCUUUCUCGGUCUCUCUCGCCGAAUGGACUUAACUGUAACCUCAAGAAGGCCUUGUUUCGUUGAAGAAGACGAUGGUCUUGUUUCUCUUGCUGACAUGAAGGCUGAUUUUACUGGAUCUCCACCCAAAUCAACCAUAACCAACCCAACCAAUUCAUCUCAAGGCAUGUGUAUUACUCAAAGAAAAGCACUCGGUGAUAACAAAGACAUCUUCAUUUACAGGAUCAUUCCAUCCUAUGAUACCCAGGCAAUCUUGUCAAAAACAACAUUUAACAUAAUAGAAAACACUACAAAUGCGAAAUCUGUCUACAAAAACCUCCAAAUUCUGGAAAUAUUAGUAGCUGAAAUUAUAAUAGCAGCACAGGCUGCACAUUGCGCGAUUUCUCUGGUGUCUCCAAAUCUGUCAGAGAUCGGCAAGCUGCUGGAUGUUGAUGGGAGAAACAACAUCUUGAUUCCCAUUGAAAGCCUUCCUUGCCAUUAGUACAUUCACCGCUUCUGUUGGAUGGAAUGCAUCCCAGAACACGUAUUGAUCCCUGUUUGAGCACGGCUGCUGCAUGGGGAGGCAUGUAAUCUGUCCAUUGUUCUUGCCUAUACCACAGCACCCGCGGUCUAGAACCGUGAAUCCUGCAUAGUCAUGUAACAACGGUGUUAUACAUAGUCUUCCAAGACCCUUGCUAGCACAUUGAUAGAUUUAAACGUGUUAGGCUGAGGGAAAUUUACCAUAGGAUCCAGGGUUGGCGAGGAUGUCUUGGAUCAUGUUGUGAAUGUCGAUGAAGGUUAUUCUUGCACCGGGAAGAUUGGUGUUCAAAUUAUUGAUCAUUGUCUUGGUGUUGGCAUUGAAAGGUAAAACUAAUUGGUUCACAUCCUCUGAGCACUGAUCGUUUGCACUCUGUGAAAGAAUGCUCGGUAUACAACCCAUUAGUCCAAGCCCUGCUAUGAUAACCUUCCGCGCUCCAAGAGUGUAAAGUCUCUGCAGCAGCAAAAACGCCAUAAAAAAUUUGAUCAAGACCUUUUCCAUUUUUCUUAAACAAGAACAGAGGUAUUAUAAAAAAAUUUAUGAUCUUACAGUGAGUUGGGCUGUGUACUGCUGAACCAAGAGAUCCGCGAAUUGUGGACCAUUAUAUUGAUUCUUUGUCGGAUAGUUGGGCAUUAGGUAGUUGUUCAAGUAGUCAUUGCUGCCCAUUCCAACAAAGAAGAUGCACCUUGAUAGCUGUUGUGCUAGAUUCUCUGCUCCGACUCGUGCUCUGAUUUGAGUCAGCGAAUGCUCAAAGUUCUCAAGCUGUCUGUUGAAUGGUAUCCUACCAACCUAACAACAAAACAUUGAAAAUGAUACUAAUGAAAUUCUCAUUGUUAGCUUGUCAUUAGUUGAUAAGUAGGUAACAUUGUUGUUGUUUGUUGCUCACAAAGUUUCUUCCUGUGAUAUCAAGAAUUCCAGCUGCAGCAGAAGCAUAAUUAACACCAUGGAGCAUAUCAUCGGUUGAAGCUUCAGAGUAUGCAGGUACCAGAGGUAGUCCCAGUAGAUCAGCUGCAUGAUGAAAAUUAUUUUGUAAUUAGAUUUGAAGGCAUAAACAAGUGUGGGCACAUCAUUCUCCUCACAUCUGUGAGUUUAGCAUAAGGUGAAUCAUGGUUUCAAUUCCGAAGCAAGUUUGUGAAAUGAGCAUUUUACUUAUCAUA
Daucus carota subsp. sativus is the source of this 1769-nucleotide long non-coding RNA. RefSeq lists it as uncharacterized. The transcript has 2 exons. The record is from RefSeq and is a predicted model, not a curated record. NCBI's taxonomy places the organism in Eukaryota, Viridiplantae, Streptophyta, Magnoliopsida, Apiales, Apiaceae.